AUCUGCAACAUUCCUGCAAGAGCUAAGCCAAAAUUUCCCACAAUCUGUUUUUCUGUGAAUUUGUCUGACAGUUUUCUUUCUCUCACCCCUGCAGAAAAAGGCCAUCCUGCAGAAUUUUAUCUGGGGCAUUGUGGAAGAUGCAAAAUGGUGACCAGGCUGCUGAUACAGUUUUUAAACAAAAAAAUCAAAACAAGCAAGCAGAGCUUUGCAGGGGGCAGUUAAAAUGUUGUUCUUCUGCUAAUGGUAAGCCCCAUCUCAAAGAAACUGCUGGAGAAUUUCUACCCAAAGAGAACUUUGGUGAAAUGCUCCCUGCAGAAAAGGUGGAGAAUUUUGAGUAUAAAGCUUUUCUCAGUAGUGAAAGAGCACAUUUGAAUGAUAAGCUGGUAACCUGCAAGAAAUCCGAAAGUUGCGAAGACAAAUUGGCACUAAUUUUAUGAUGUGAUUAAUACAAGUUGACUCAACAUCCUGAAGAAACCAACGUUGCCACCUUGGGAAAUACAUUUCUGCACCAAUUAUUCCUAGGUGUUAUAUCUGAUUAAUUAUGCUCUCACUCCAUUAGAUAACUGAUGGGUAACUUUGCAUCUGUCUCCACAUUUUUGAUUUAACAGACAACUUUAUUGAAAAAUUCAUGGAAAGAGAACAGCUGAU
This 648-nucleotide long non-coding RNA is filed under the name Podarcis muralis (Common wall lizard). RNAcentral's name for it is "lncRNA (ENSPMRG00000002831.1)". The record is from RNAcentral. Lineage: Eukaryota; Metazoa; Chordata; Lepidosauria; Squamata; Lacertidae.